Capsicum annuum is the source of this 3190-nucleotide RNA transcript. It is a transcript of the gene named serine carboxypeptidase-like 50, with no coding region annotated. The transcript has 4 exons. The record is from RefSeq and is a predicted model, not a curated record. Lineage: Eukaryota; Viridiplantae; Streptophyta; Magnoliopsida; Solanales; Solanaceae.
AUUUUGUCCUCCACCGAGGCAACUCCCAACUUCUCCUGAAUAAUUUCAUUUCCCACUUUAUCUUUCUUAGUAUGUCCACACAUCUAUUGCAAUAUUCUCAUCUCCUCCAUCUUCAACUUUUGGAUAUGAGAGUUCUUAAAUGUCAACACUUUGCUCUAUAUAACACAGCGGAUCGGACUACUAAUGUGAAGUUAGUAUGUUGUAGCAAAUAUACCUCUACUCUGCUUAUUACUCAAUCAUUGAAAACAUUGACACAGGUCAAUGCCCUUUGUUCAACCUUUCCAUCAAUGGAGUCCACACCAAAACACCAGCAAUUACUUCACCUCCUCUUAUUAACAACUCUAAUUUACUUAUCAUCAGCAAUAUCUAUCCAAUCUUCCUUCCCACAAGAAGCUUUGCCAACAAAAUCAGGCUACUUAACAAUCAAUUCAACAUCAGGAUCAUCCAUAUUCUACACUUUUUACGAAGCACAGAAUCCAAGAACGCCAAUCUACGACACCCCAAUUGUCAUCUGGCUUCAAGGUGGUCCUGGAUGUUCAUCAAUGCUCGGAAACUUUUACGAACUUGGUCCCUUUCGCGUUUCUUUUUCAUUGAGGCAUAACGUCGAACACCUUACGCUCGUAAGGAAUUCGGGGUCUUGGAAUCGUAUAUUUGGGGUACUUUUCAUUGAUAAUCCAAUUGGAACGGGGUUUAGUAUUGCUGGAAGUCCAGAUGAAGUGCCUAGAAAUCAACAUGAUGUUGCUAAGCAUCUGUUUAUUGCUGUUAGGGAGUUUAUUGGAUUGGAAAAAUCGUUCGAAAAUCGACCAAUUUAUGCUACUGGUGAAAGUUAUGCUGGUAAAUAUGUGCCAGCAUUUGGUUACUAUACAUUGAAGAAGAAUGCACGUUUGGCGAAAUCAAGACGGUUGAAUUUGGCUGGAGUUGGUAUUGGUAAUGGACUAACUGAUCCCGAAAUUCAAGUAGGGACACAUGCUUUGAAUGCGUAUUAUUCGGGGUUGAUUAAUGGAAAGCAAAAGAUGGAAUUGGAGAAACUUCAAGAGGAGGCGAUUAGGUUGACGAGGAAUGGGAAUUGGAGCGAGGCAACGAGUGCUAGAUUGAGGGUCUUGGGUACAUUGAGUAACAUGACGGGGCUAGCGACAUUGUACGAUUUUAGAAGGCUAAAGCCUUAUGAAGAUGAUUUGGUGGGUAAAUUUUUAAGUAGUGUAGAGAUUAAGAGGGCUUUAAAAGCGAAAGAGUCGAUAAGUUUUGAGGUAUGUAGUGAUUUAGUAGGCAAUGCAUUGAACGAUGACGUGAUGAAAAGUGUGAGGUACAUGGUGGAGUUCUUGGUUAAGAAUACGAAGGUGUUGUUAUACCAGGGGCAGUGUGAUUUGAGAGAUGGAGUGGUGUCGGCUGAGGUGUGGAUGAAGAAGAUGAAGUGGGAGGGAAUCGGAAAGUUUUUAGAGGCGGAGCGGAAUGUUUGGAGUGUGAAUGACGAGCUUGCUGGAUAUGUGCAGAAGUGGGAAAAUUUGACUCAUGUUGUGGUAAUGAACGCGGGGCAUCUUGUGCCUACCGACCAGGCAGUGAAUUCUCAGGCGAUGAUUGAAGAUUGGGUAUUGGAAAAGGGAUUGUUUGCCACGGGCCAGGUUAUGCAAAAGCCAAGCCAUAUUGGUACCUGUUCCAUAGGAUAGAUGUGAUUGUAUGAAAAAUAGUAAAUUGUGGAGGGGCAUAUUGAAGAUUAGUAGGUAAUGACACCAUUUUCAUGGUAAACGGAAAGACAUAGUUUACCACCAAGAUAAGCAGUAUCUAUCCAAUCUUCCUUCCCUGAAGAAGUCUCACCAACAAAAUCUGGGUACUUUAACAGUUAAUUCAACAUCAGGAUCAUCCAUAUUUUUCUCUUUUUACGAAGCACAGAAACCAAGAACUCCAAUUCCCAACACCCCAAUUCUCAUUUGGCUUCAGGUUCAGGGUGGUCCUGGUUGUUCUUCAAUGCUUGGAAACUUCUAUGAACUUGGCCUUUUUUCGCAUUUCGUCUUCUUUGAGUCAAAAUGUUGAACAAGUUGUGCUCGAAAGGAAUCCGGGGUCUUGGAAUCAAAUAUUUGGAGUUGUUUUUCUUGAUAAUCCUAUUGGUACUGGAUUUAGUAUUGCUUCGAGACCAGAAGAGAUACCAAGAAUCCAGCAUGAUGUUGCUAAGCAUAUUUUUAUUGCUAUGAAGGAGUUUGUUGGGUUGGAUAAGUUGUUCGAAAAUCGGCCAAUUUAUGUUACUGGUGAAAGUUAUGCUGGUAAAUAUGUGCCAGCAUUUGGCUACUAUACAUUAAAAAAGAAUGAGGGAUUGCCUAAAUCACGACGGUUGAAUUUGGCUGGAGUUGAUAUUGGGAAUUGGGAGAGAUGAAGGGUGAUAGAAAAUUUUUAUUGUCCUGAUUUCUGUACUGUAUAUCAAGGUUAGGUGAAGUUGUCCUAUGUAAAAAAUUGAUGGACAGCGAUGUUAAUUCAUGGGGGAAAGGUUUAAAAGUAGUGAAGGAUGAACGUGACAGCACUAAUGCUCCGAGGAGAAGUCUGAAUCCAUUUCUUGCUGUACCGGCUACUUUAUGUGUGGAGGACGAAUUAAAUAAUGUUUUGCUAUCAGUAGGGACUGGUACUUCUUUGUAGUUGACAAGGGACUGCAAGCUGGAGACACCAUCAAGAUCUACAGAAAGCCAUCUAAUAUCCCAAUUAUCAAUGCUGAUUACAAUAUUAGAAUCGAGCGCAAUGAGGCCUCAUCCACAGACAGUAACUAAGUCUCAUGAUAUGGAUCGAGUAUAUGACCGAUAUUGUCAUCUAAUCUUGUGAACGGCUCCUCUGAUAUUACAUAUACUAGUCUGAUAUUACAGUCUUGAGGGAAAACUAAUGAAAUACUUGGUGAAACUUUUAGUUGAUUUCUUUACAUUUUAUAUGGUUACCCUCUUAAUUCUACAAGUUGCUUCUCUGUAGUAAGAGUUUAAAUUUUAGGGGUAAGGGAAUGUUGUUGUACGUACUUGUUAGAGUGUAGUUUUGCGUACAAUGAAGAAUGGUUAACUUUUUUUAGAAUCUGCCGUAGAAGCUUAAUAUUGAUCGAGACUUUGGGUGAGAGAAUUGAUUUUGUGCAAAGGGAAAAUAUGUGUAUUGAACUGUGUAACCUAUACAUACAUUACGCCUCUAACAAUCAGUAUAUGCCAACUUACCCCUAACUAUUUAUUCC